RNAcentral lists this ribosomal RNA (284 nucleotides) under uncultured Alistipes sp. RNAcentral's name for it is "partial 16S ribosomal RNA". It matches the Rfam family "Bacterial small subunit ribosomal RNA", at positions 56 to 339 of the family's 1533-position model. Lineage: Bacteria; Pseudomonadati; Bacteroidota; Bacteroidia; Bacteroidales; Rikenellaceae. The record is from RNAcentral.
UGCAAGUCGAGGGGCAGCACAGGUAGCAAUACCGGGUGGCGACCGGCGCACGGGUGCGUAACGCGUAUGCAACCUACCCAUAACAGGGGGAUAACACUGAGAAAUUGGUACUAAUACCCCAUAAUAUCAUAGAAGGCAUCUUUUAUGGUUGAAAAUUCCGAUGGUUAGAGAUGGGCAUGCGUUGUAUUAGCUAGUUGGUGGGGUAACGGCUCACCAAGGCAACGAUACAGUAGGGGACUGAGAGGUUAACCCCCACAUUGGUACUGAGACACGGACCAAACUCC